UACGUAGGGCGCAAGCGUUAUCCGGAAUUAUUGGGCGUAAAGAGCUCGUAGGCGGUUUGUCGCGGUCUGCCGUGAAAGUCCCGGGGCUCAACUCCGGAUCUGCGGUGGGUACGGGCAGACUAGAGGUGAUGUAGGGGAGACUGGAAUUCCUGGUGUAGCGGUGAAAUGCGCAGAUAUCAGGAGGAACACCGAUGGCGAAGGCAGGUCUCUGGGCGAUUAAACUGACG
Molecule: ribosomal RNA, 227 nt
Filed under: uncultured bacterium
Lineage: Bacteria
Description: partial 16S ribosomal RNA
Rfam family: Bacterial small subunit ribosomal RNA
Source: RNAcentral